This 428-nucleotide ribosomal RNA is filed under the name uncultured bacterium. Its description in RNAcentral is "partial 16S ribosomal RNA". It matches the Rfam family "Bacterial small subunit ribosomal RNA", at positions 354 to 796 of the family's 1533-position model. The record is from RNAcentral.
GUCGAGAAUCUUCCGCAAUGCGCGAAAGCGUGACGGAGCGACACCGCGUGAUGGAUGAAGUCCUUCGGGGCGUAAACAUCUUUUAUAAAGGAGGAAAUUUUUGACGUUACUUUAUGAAUAAGGGGCUCCCAAUCUCGUGCCAGCAGGCGCGGUAAUACGAGAGCCUCAAGCGUUAUCCGGAAUCAUUGGGCGUAAAGGGUGCGUAGGUGGUUUGAUUAGUCUCCCGUUAAAACUUCGAGCUUAACUAGAAAAGAGCGGGGGAAACGGUCAAACUAGAGUAUGUGAGAGGUGUGUGGAACUCAUGGUGUAGGGGUGAAAUCCGUUGAGAUCAUGGGGAGGACCAAGAGCGAAGGCAGCACACGGGUACGUCACUGACACUGAGGCACGAAACCUAAGGUAGCGAAUGGGAUUAGAUACCCCGGUAGUCC